Molecule: ribosomal RNA, 791 nt
Filed under: Bacillus sp. NH27
Lineage: Bacteria; Bacillati; Bacillota; Bacilli; Caryophanales; Bacillaceae
Description: bacterial SSU rRNA
Rfam family: Bacterial small subunit ribosomal RNA
Source: RNAcentral
GGGAAGCAGGCAGUCCCCUCUUCGGAGGGAAUGCGUGUGGAACGAGCGGCGGACGGGUGAGUAACACGUGGGCAACCUGCCCUGAGGUCUGGGAUAACCCCGGGAAACCGGGGCUAAUACCGGAUAGGCCCAUCGACCGCCUGGUCGAUGGGUAAAAGCGGGGAUUUUCCUCGCGCCCCAGGAUGGGCCCGCGGCGCAUUAGCUGGUUGGUGAGGUCACGGCUUACCAAGGCAACGAUGCGUAGCCGACCUGAGAGGGUGAUCGGCCACACUGGGACUGAGACACGGCCCAGACUCCUACGGGAGGCAGCAGUAGGGAAUCAUCCGCAAUGGGCGAAAGCCUGACGGUGCAACGCCGCGUGAGUGAAGAAGGUUUUCGGAUCGUAAAGCUCUGUUAUCCGAGAAGAACAAGUGCCGGUCGAAGAGGCCGGCGCCAUGACGGUACCGGAUCAGAAAGCCCCGGCUAACUACGUGCCAGCAGCCGCGGUAAUACGUAGGGGGCAAGCGUUGUCCGGAAUUAUUGGGCGUAAAGGGCGCGCAGGCGGUUUCCUAAGUCUGAUGUGAAAGGCCACGGCUCAACCGUGGAAUGGCAUUGGAAACUGGGGGACUUGAGUACAGGAGAGGAGAGUGGAAUUCCACGUGUAGCGGUGAAAUGCGUAGAGAUGUGGAGGAACACCAGUGGCGAAGGCGGCUCUCUGGCCUGUAACUGACGCUGAGGCGCGAAAGCGUGGGGAGCGAACAGGAUUAGAUACCCUGGUAGUCCACGCCGUAAACGUUGAGUGCUAGGUGUUA